Dermochelys coriacea (leatherback sea turtle) is the source of this 713-nucleotide long non-coding RNA. RefSeq lists it as uncharacterized. The transcript is spliced from 3 exons. The record is from RefSeq and is a predicted model, not a curated record. NCBI's taxonomy places the organism in Eukaryota, Metazoa, Chordata, Testudines, Dermochelyidae.
CUUUAAAUAGCCCCCAGAGCUCCAGGCUGCUGCUGCUGCUACCCUGGGGGGGGGGCACUUACCUUACAGGGUGGGCUGGCUCUGACACCCUCAACCCUGGCCCUUCCGCCCUAAGCCCCACACCUUAUGGGGGCUUGAGCUGGCCCCAGAGUACCGACUCCAGGGACUUUAUUCCCAGCUUUGAUGUGUGGUGCUCAAGCAAGGGACAGUAUGUGCACGAUUCAAGGCAGAACUGGCUGGAACACAGUCCUGACAGAACCACCACAUGAAGCAAAGCUGUGCUGGUGGGUUUGACUUGAGUUUCCCUCAGGGACUUCCAAAGAGCGUGACCCCAUGUGAUGGAGACCCCAAUGGAGCUACUGUUCCACUGGCAGCUUGGGAAGCAAGUAAUCCAGCUCCCCCUGUUCCACUCCCAGGACAGCAGAGGUGAGGAGAGUGUUGCCAGCAGAACAGCCUGUAGCGUGAUGCAGGCCUGACAGUAGCUGCAAAGCCCAGAGAAAAACAACCCCUUCUAAGAGCCAAUUUCAGAGUGAGAAACUACCAUUGCAUCAAGCAGUUGUUCCUGAAGCAUUGGUACAUCCCUCAACACUGGCCUACAGGCUUUUGUGACUGGGACUCCAGCCUUCUCCUGUCUUUGUGCAGGGCCCCGAGCACUGGUUCUGCUCACACCUUCCACAUUUGACUGCAUGUGAGCCAAACCAUAAAGAAGCUUA